RNAcentral lists this ribosomal RNA (418 nucleotides) under uncultured bacterium. RNAcentral describes it as "bacterial SSU rRNA". It matches the Rfam family "Bacterial small subunit ribosomal RNA", at positions 355 to 787 of the family's 1533-position model. The record is from RNAcentral.
UGGGGAAUAUUGCACAAUGGGCGAAAGCCUGGUGCAGCAACGCCGCGUGAAGGAAGAAGGGUUUCGGCUCGUAAACUUCUAUCAACAGGGACGAAGGAAGUGACGGUACCUGAAUAAGAAGCCCCGGCUAACUACGUGCCAGCAGCCGCGGUAAUACGUAGGGGGCAAGCGUUAUCCGGAAUUACUGGGUGUAAAGGGUGAGUAGGCGGCAUGGUAAGCCAGAUGUGAAAGCCUUGGGCUUAACCCGAGGAUUGCAUUUGGAACUAUCAAGCUAGAGUACAGGAGAGGAAAGCGGAAUUCCUAGUGUAGCGGUGAAAUGCGUAGAUAUUAGGAAGAACAUCAGUGGCGAAGGCGGCUUUCUGGACUGAAACUGACGCUGAGGCACGAAAGCGUGGGGAGCGAACAGGAUUAGAUACCC